This 372-nucleotide ribosomal RNA is filed under the name uncultured organism. RNAcentral describes it as "partial 16S ribosomal RNA". It matches the Rfam family "Bacterial small subunit ribosomal RNA", at positions 527 to 896 of the family's 1533-position model. The record is from RNAcentral.
GUAGGUGGCAAGCGUUGUCCGGAAUUAUUGGGCGUAAAGCGCGCGCAGGCGGUUCUUUAAGUCUGAUGUGAAAGCCCACGGGCUCAACCGUGGAGGGUCAUUGGAAACUGGAGAACUUGAGUACAGAAGAGGAAAGCGGAAUUCCACGUGUAGCGGUGAAAUGCGUAGAGAUGUGGAGGAACACCGGUGGCGAAGGCGGCUUUCUGGUCUGUAACUGACGCUGAGGCGCGAAAGCGUGGGGAGCAAACAGGAUUAGAUACCCUGGUAGUCCACGCCGUAAACGAUGAGUGCUAAGUGUUAGGGGGUCUCCGCCCCUUAGUGCUGCAGCUAACGCAUUAAGCACUCCGCCUGGGGAGUACGGCCGCAAGGCUG